Molecule: ribosomal RNA, 468 nt
Filed under: uncultured bacterium
Lineage: Bacteria
Description: partial 16S ribosomal RNA
Rfam family: Bacterial small subunit ribosomal RNA
Source: RNAcentral
GACGAACGCUGGCGGCGUGCUUAACACAUGCAAGUCGAACGGAAAGGCCCUGCUUUUGUGGGUUGCUCGAGUGGCGAACGGGUGAGUAACACGUUAGUAACCUGCCCUUGACUUUGGGAUAACUUCAGGAAACUGGGGCUAAUACCGGAUAGGAGCUCCUGCUGCAUGUUGGGGGUUGGAAAGUUUCGGCGGUUGGGGAUGUACUCGCGGAUUAUCAGCUUGUUGGUGGGGUAGUGGCUUACCAAGGCUUUGACGGGUAGCCGGCCUGAGAGGGUGACCAGACACAUUGGGACUGAGAUACGGCCCAGACUCCUACGGGAGGCAGAAGUGGGGAAUAUUGCACAAUGGGCGGAAGCAUGAUGCAGGAACGCCGCGUGCGUGAUGACGGCCUUCGGGUUGUAAACCGCUUUCGCCUGUGACGAAGCGUGAGUGACGGUAAUGGGUAAAGAAGCACCGGCUAACUACGUG